GAGCUCACUUUGGCAACACGUAUACAAAAUUGGAACAAUACAGGGAAGAUUAGCUUGGCCCAUGCACAAGGAUGACACGUACGUUCAUGAAGCAUUCCAUGUUUUU
Octodon degus (degu) is the source of this 106-nucleotide small nuclear RNA. The record is from Ensembl. NCBI's taxonomy places the organism in Eukaryota, Metazoa, Chordata, Mammalia, Rodentia, Octodontidae.